AGUGACAAGAAAUAACAAUACAGGACUUUUUGGUUUUGUAAUUGGAAUGAGUUAAGUAUAAACCCCUUUACAAGUAUCAAUUGGAGGGCAAGUCUGGUGCCAGCAGCCGCGGUAAUUCCAGCUCCAAUAGCGUAUAUUAAAGUUGUUGCAGUUAAAAAGCUCGUAGUUGGAUUUCUGUUAAUAAUUUAUAUAAAAUAUUUUGAUGAAUAUUUAUAUAAUAUUAACAUAAUUCAUAUUACUAUAUAUUUUAGUAUAUGAAAUUUUACUUUGAGAAAAUUAGAGUGCUUAAAGCAGG
This 295-nucleotide ribosomal RNA is filed under the name Cryptosporidium parvum. RNAcentral describes it as "partial 18S ribosomal RNA". It matches the Rfam family "Eukaryotic small subunit ribosomal RNA", at positions 466 to 784 of the family's 1831-position model. Lineage: Eukaryota; Apicomplexa; Conoidasida; Eucoccidiorida; Cryptosporidiidae. The record is from RNAcentral.